RNAcentral lists this small nuclear RNA (158 nucleotides) under Fukomys damarensis (Damara mole-rat). RNAcentral describes it as "U2 spliceosomal RNA". It matches the Rfam family "U2 spliceosomal RNA". From Rfam's summary of the family: U2 is a small nuclear RNA (snRNA) component of the spliceosome (involved in pre-mRNA splicing). Complementary binding between U2 snRNA (in an area lying towards the 5' end but 3' to hairpin I) and the branchpoint sequence (BPS) of the intron results the bulging out of an unpaired adenosine, on the BPS, which initiates a nucleophilic attack at the intronic 5' splice site, thus starting the first of two transesterification reactions that mediate splicing. The record is from Rfam by way of RNAcentral. Lineage: Eukaryota; Metazoa; Chordata; Mammalia; Rodentia; Bathyergidae.
AUUGCUUCUUGGCCUUUUGGCUAAGAUCAAGUGUAGUCUUUCAUGUUGAGAGAGAGAAAGAUCCCAAACUGGUAGAAAAGAAAAGUAAUUUUAGGCUAUAGCUCAGGUGAAUGCUUUGCCUGUGCCAGCCAAUUACUAACUUUUGGAGUAUACCCCUU